Molecule: unclassified non-coding RNA, 249 nt
Filed under: Hevea brasiliensis (rubber tree)
Lineage: Eukaryota; Viridiplantae; Streptophyta; Magnoliopsida; Malpighiales; Euphorbiaceae
Source: RNAcentral
UGCAUCCAAGAGGAUCCAUCUCUAAGACCCUCCAUGAGGACUGUGACACAGAUGCUUGAAGGAGUUGUUCAAGUUUCUGAGCCACCAUGUCCUUCCCCAUUUAAUUAGUUCAAUCUGCUGAAACUAUAUCCUUGUCAUAUCUCUAGUUGUAUUACUCUCUCUCUCUCUCUCUCUCUCUCUCCCCCGUGUGUGUGUAUAUAUAUGUGUGUGUGUGUGGUUGCCCGUGUGUAUUUGGAUAUAGAUUAGUUU